UCCGCAGGGUGCAAGCGUUACUCGGAAUUACUGGGCGUAAAGCGUGCGUAGGUGGUUCGUUAAGUCUGAUGUGAAAGCCCUGGGCUCAACCUGGGAAUGGCAUUGGAAACUGGCGGACUAGAGUGCGGUAGAGGGUAGCGGAAUUCCCGGUGUAGCAGUGAAAUGCGUAGAGAUCGGGAGGAACAUCCGUGGCGAAGGCGGCUACCUGGACCAGCACUGACACUGAGGCACGAAAGCGUGGGGAGCAAACAGG
RNAcentral lists this ribosomal RNA (253 nucleotides) under uncultured bacterium. Its description in RNAcentral is "partial 16S ribosomal RNA". It matches the Rfam family "Bacterial small subunit ribosomal RNA", at positions 524 to 776 of the family's 1533-position model. The record is from RNAcentral.